This 428-nucleotide ribosomal RNA is filed under the name uncultured bacterium. Its description in RNAcentral is "partial 16S ribosomal RNA". It matches the Rfam family "Bacterial small subunit ribosomal RNA", at positions 355 to 776 of the family's 1533-position model. The record is from RNAcentral.
UGGGGAACUUUGGACAAUGGGCGAAAGCCUGAUCCAGCGACGCCGCGUGAGUGAUGAAGGCCUUCGGGUCGUAAAGCUCUGUCGGAGGGAACGAAACAGGAUGACCUAACACGUCAUUCGAUGACGGUACCCUCAAAGGAAGCACCGGCUAACUCUGUGCCAGCAGCCGCGGUAAUACAGAGGGUGCGAGCGUUGUUCGGAAUCAUUGGGCGUAAAGGGCGUGUAGGUGGCGAAGUGUGUCCGGUGUGAAAACCCCCGGCUCAACUGGGGAAUGGCAUUGGAAACUACUUCGCUGGAGGACGAGAGAGGGUGACGGAAUUCCCAGUGUAGAGGUGAAAUUCGUAGAUAUUGGGAGGAACACCAGAGGCGAAGGCGGUCACCUGGCUCGUUACUGACACUGAGACGCGAAAGCGUGGGGAGCAAACAGG